AGUGAACGCUGGCGGUAGGCCUAACACAUGCAAGUCGAACGACAGCACAGUAAGAGCUUGCUCUUACGGGUGGCGAGUGGCGGACGGGUGAGGAAUACAUCGGAAUCUACUUUUUCGUGGGGGAUAACGUAGGGAAACUUACGCUAAUACCGCAUACGACCUACGGGUGAAAGCAGGGGAUCUUCGGACCUUGCGCGAUUGAAUGAGCCGAUGUCGGAUUAGCUAGUUGGCGGGGUAAAGGCCCACCAAGGCGACGAUCCGUAGCUGGUCUGAGAGGAUGAUCAGCCACACUGGAACUGAGACACGGUCCAGACUCCUACGGGAGGCAGCAGUGGGGAAUAUUGGACAAUGGGCGCAAGCCUGAUCCAGCCAUACCGCGUGGGUGAAGAAGGCCUUCGGGCUGUAAAGCCCUUUUGUUGGGAAAGAAAAGCAGCAGGUUAAUACCCCGCUGUUCUGACGGUACCCAAAGAAUAAGCACCGGCUAACUUCGUG
RNAcentral lists this ribosomal RNA (492 nucleotides) under uncultured bacterium. RNAcentral describes it as "partial 16S ribosomal RNA". It matches the Rfam family "Bacterial small subunit ribosomal RNA", at positions 29 to 507 of the family's 1533-position model. The record is from RNAcentral.